CUCUGAAGCAGGAACUAACUGCAUCGAGUGGAGGCCAACGGGAGCCAUUGAAGAAGAGCUCAUAUCCUUAGAUUCUGAAAGAGACCUUGCUGGCUCUGUUGGGAGAUUCUUAGCAUCAUCAGUGUCCCAGGUUGUCCAACUAACCAAUGAAUUGAACCUUUCUUAGCA
Thamnophis elegans (Western terrestrial garter snake) is the source of this 168-nucleotide long non-coding RNA. RefSeq lists it as uncharacterized. The record is from RefSeq and is a predicted model, not a curated record. NCBI's taxonomy places the organism in Eukaryota, Metazoa, Chordata, Lepidosauria, Squamata, Natricidae. The transcript is spliced from 2 exons.